This 443-nucleotide long non-coding RNA is filed under the name Equus asinus (donkey). RNAcentral describes it as "lncRNA (ENSEASG00005030789.1)". The record is from RNAcentral. Lineage: Eukaryota; Metazoa; Chordata; Mammalia; Perissodactyla; Equidae.
CUUUGAUGGUGAAAAGGUUGGAAAAUAUUAUCUACUCCAACCCUGCAGAGGAUGCAACUGAGGUCCGAAGAGGGAAAGAGACGUUCUAAGGUUGCACAGCAAACUGUGGACAGAUAUCAAAUUUGAACACAAGUCCCCAACUCCUAGACCAGAGCACUUCCCACCAGGCCACCUGCCCUCUCCGCCCUCCCAGGGACUGCAGAGAUGCUCAUACACGUCCAGGUAUAACACGUACGGAGCAUGACAUCAACGCCUUACGUUGUUCUACAGCAGCAGUUCUCAGAGUGCGGUCUGAGGAUUCCUGGGCAUAUCAGAGCCCUGCCAGAGGCUGCUUACAUUUGUGUCCCCUGAUGGACGAACACACCACCACCUGUGGAGUUAUCCGCCAGAAUGUGGAACCUGAAUCACAUCUGCCUCCUGAUACGGAGACACAACCAAACUCC